AUUGAACGCUGGCGGCAUGCUUUUCACAUGCGAGUCGAACGGUAACAGGCCGCAAGGUGCUGACGAGUGGCGAACGGGUGAGUAAUGCAUCGGAACGUGCCCAGUCGUGGGGGAUAACUACUCGAAAGAGUAGCUAAUACCGCAUACGAUCUAUGGAUGAAAGCGGGGGACCGUAAGGCCUCGCGCGAUUGGAGCGGCCGAUGUCAGAUUAGGUAGUUGGUGGGGUAAAGGCUCACCAAGCCAACGAUCUGUAGCUGGUCUGAGAGGACGACCAGCCACACUGGGACUGAGACACGGCCCAGACUCCUACGGGAGGCAGCAGUGGGGAAUUUUGGACAAUGGGCGCAAGCCUGAUCCAGCAAUGCCGCGUGCAGGAAGAAGGCCUUCGGGUUGUAAACUGCUUUUGUACGGAACGAAACGGCUCUGGUUAAUACCCGGGGCUAAUGACGGUACCGUAAGAAUAAGCACCGGCUAACUACGUG
Molecule: ribosomal RNA, 482 nt
Filed under: uncultured bacterium
Lineage: Bacteria
Description: partial 16S ribosomal RNA
Rfam family: Bacterial small subunit ribosomal RNA
Source: RNAcentral